This 960-nucleotide unclassified non-coding RNA is filed under the name Hevea brasiliensis (rubber tree). Lineage: Eukaryota; Viridiplantae; Streptophyta; Magnoliopsida; Malpighiales; Euphorbiaceae. The record is from RNAcentral.
CAAUUGCAGUUAUAACCACACCAAUCAAGGAUGUUAUGGCACACAGGGACAUUGGAGCAGGAAAAUCACCCAAAGUAGAAGCCUGCAAUACAACAUUGCUUGAUAGAACAAAAACAGCAGCCAUGAGAUAUAAGCAACCAAUCAUCUUUUGCUUAUCUAAAAUCACAUCCACAGGGGGAACUUGCAGCAAAUCGGCAUCUUUUGUUGAUUUAGAGCUGUGCAUUAGACUCAUUAAGAGGGCUCCUGCGACACACAGCAAUGUACCUACAAUCUUCACUUUGCUGUAUAGGCAGCUUAGCUUAACUUUCUCUAGCCUUGCUGUCCAAGCAAUCAGGAAAAUAAGUCCUGGAGCAAGGUUUGGCAUGGCUGUUGCCAGUGCUGGUGAGGUUAGCUUAAUCCCCUUCAGGAAUAACGUUUGGAAUAAAGUUACCCCUGCAAAAGAGAUCAANNNNNNNNNNNAAGCUGGAUCAUCAACCUGAAACUGAGUUCCUUGGGCCAUUUCUUCCUUUCAAAAUAAACAGCGAAAGGAGAGGUGAUGAGGAAGGUAGCAAAAGUAGAGAAGAUGACAAUGGUAGAAGGGGUAAAGCCAAGAGACAUUAGAUAACUCAAGAAAACAGCGUUCCCAGCAUACAUAAAUUGCACCCCUAUCAAGCCUCCUACAAUCGUUAAAUCUUCAAUCAUCUCCUUCUUCAUGUAGCCAACCAUUUUCCCCUCCAAGCAAAAAAAUAAAAACCCAAAUGGAUAUCAGACCAAUUUAAGCGUUUUUCCUUAAAAACCUAAUUGUUUUUCUCCUUUUGAAGGUCAGAAAAACCACCUUUUCCUACCUCUGCUCAUCUGAAAUCAUCUUUCUUGUCAGAAAAGGAAAACAAAGCUAGCAUUAGUGACCCCAACACUAAAAAACACAAGUGAAAAAGAGAGAAGAAACGUCCGGCAACUACUGUUUUUCAGUGCAUUCUUUUC